UACGUAGGGAGCAAGUGUUGUCCGGAAUCAUUGGGCGUAAAGCGCGCGUAGGUGGCUUCGUAAGUCCGUUGUGAAAGUCAAAGGCUCAACCUUUGAAAGCCGAUGGAUACUGCGGAGCUAGAGUACGGAAGAGGCGAGUGGAAUUCCUGGUGUAGCGGUGGAAUGCGCAGAUAUCAGGAGGAACACCAAUAGCGAAGGCAGCUCGCUGGGACGUUACUGACACUGAGGCGCGAAAGCGUGGGGAGCGAACAGG
RNAcentral lists this ribosomal RNA (253 nucleotides) under uncultured bacterium. RNAcentral describes it as "partial 16S ribosomal RNA". It matches the Rfam family "Bacterial small subunit ribosomal RNA", at positions 524 to 776 of the family's 1533-position model. The record is from RNAcentral.